AAAGCUCGUAGUUGAAUUUUUAAGAGAAUCAAUUGUAUGUGUUCGUUCUGAAUUACAAUGAAUGUUGAUUACUCUUAUUUGCUCUUUUCCAGUGUUGGAAUUCAGUUUUUGACAGUUAAUGAAGUGUUUAUUUACUUUGAGAAAAUUUGUGUGUUCUAAGCAGUCGUACGACUGUAUCCUAAAGCAUGGAAUAAUAAGUAAUGACUUUGAUCAAUUUCUGAUGGUUUGAGAGAUAUUGUAAUGAUUUAUAGAGUUUGUCGGAGGUAUUAGUAUUUUGUCGUUAGAGGUGAAAUUCUGGGAUCGUCAAAAGACUAACAACUGUGUAAGCAAUUACCUAGGAUUUUCUUCUUGAUCAAGAACGUAAGUUGAGGGAUCGAAGACGAUCAGAUACCGUCGUAGUCUCAACUUUAAACGAUAUCAGCUAGGGAUUAGUAAAUGUUUAUAUGACUUUGUUAGAACCUUAUGAGAAAUCAAAGCGUUUGGAUUCCGGGGGGAGUAUGGUCGCAAGGCUGAAACUUAAAGGAAUUGACGGAAGGGCACCACAAGAUGUGGAUCCUGUGGCUUAAUUUGACUCAACACUGGGAAACUUACCAGGUCCAGACAUAGGUAAGAU
Molecule: ribosomal RNA, 613 nt
Filed under: uncultured marine eukaryote
Lineage: Eukaryota
Description: bacterial SSU rRNA
Rfam family: Eukaryotic small subunit ribosomal RNA
Source: RNAcentral